This 466-nucleotide ribosomal RNA is filed under the name uncultured bacterium. RNAcentral describes it as "partial 16S ribosomal RNA". It matches the Rfam family "Bacterial small subunit ribosomal RNA", at positions 28 to 506 of the family's 1533-position model. The record is from RNAcentral.
GACGAACGCUGGCGGCGUGCUUAACACAUGCAAGUCGAACGGAAAGGCUCCAGCUUGCUGGAGUGCUCGAGUGGCGAACGGGUGAGUAACACGUGGGCAAUCUGCCCUGCACUCUGGGAUAAGCCUGGGAAACUGGGUCUAAUACCGGAUAGGACCUUUCUCCUCAUGGGGUUUGGUGGAAAGUUUUUCGGUGCAGGAUGAGCCCGCGGCCUAUCAGCUUGUUGGUGGGGUAAUGGCCUACCAAGGCGACGACGGGUAGCCGGCCUGAGAGGGUGAUCGGCCACAUUGGGACUGAGAUACGGCCCAGACUCCUACGGGAGGCAGCAGUGGGGAAUAUUGCACAAUGGGCGAAAGCCGGAUGCAGCGACGCCGCGUGGGGGAUGACGGCCUUCGGGUUGUAAACCUCUUUCAGUAGGGACGAAGCGCAAGUGACGGUACCUGCAGAAGAAGCACCGGCUAACUACGU